UGCAGUCAAGGGGCCUUCGGGUCACUGGCGCACGGGUGAGUAACGCGUGGAUAAUCUACCCAUAUCUCUGACAUAACUGCUGGAAACGGUAGCUAAUAUCAGAUGAGGCCUACGGGUCAAAGUUUUAAUGGAUAUGGAUGAGUCUGCGUCUGAUUAGCUAGUUGGUAGUGUAAUGGACUACCAAGGCAACGAUCAGUAACUGGUCUGAGAGGAUGAUCAGUCACACUGGAACUGAGACACGGUCCAGACUCCUACGGGAGGCAGCAGUGAGGAAUUUUGGACAAUGGGGGAAACCCUGAUCCAGCGACGCCGUGUGUGGGACGAAUCGGUUAUUCCGUGUAAACCACUGUCAGAUGGGAAAAAAAGAACCUUCGGGGUUCUGGGAUUGUACCAUCAGAGGAAGGACCGGCUAACUACGUGCCAGCAGCCGCGGUAAUACGUAGGGUCCAAGCGUUGUCCGGAAUUACUGGGUAUAAAGGGUGCGCAGGCGGGUAUUUGCGUCGGGGGUUAAAGGCCAAAGCUUAACUUUGGAAAUGCCUCCGAUACGGAAUAUCUUGAAUAUGAGAGAGGUAGGUAGAAUUCCUGGUGUAGCGGUGAAAUGCGUAGAUAUCAGGAGGAAUACCAGUGGCGAAGGCGGCCUACUGGCUCAUUAUUGACGCUCAGGCACGAAAGCGUGGGGAGCAAACAGGAUUAGAUACCCUGGUAGUCCACGCCCUAAACGAUGUAUGCUUGGUGUUGGGUCUAAGACUCAGUGCCGGAGGAAAUCUGUUAAGCAUACCACCUGGGGAGUACGAUCGCAAGGUUGAAACUCAAAGGAAUUGACGGGGGCCCGCACAAGCGGUGGAUUAUGUGGUUUAAUUCGAUGCAACGCGAAGAACCUUACCCAGGCUUGAAGUGCAUGUGACGAUGGGUGAAAGCUCAUUUUCUUCG
RNAcentral lists this ribosomal RNA (930 nucleotides) under uncultured bacterium. RNAcentral's name for it is "bacterial SSU rRNA". It matches the Rfam family "Bacterial small subunit ribosomal RNA", at positions 56 to 1020 of the family's 1533-position model. The record is from RNAcentral.